UAGUAUCAGCGUGUCAGCAGCCGCGGUAAUACGUAGGGUGCGAGCGUUGUCCGGAAUUAUUGGGCGUAAAGAGCUCGUAGGCGGUGUGUCGCGUCGGCCGUGAAAACCUGGGGCUCAACUCUGGGCGUGCGGUCGAUACGGGCAUCACUAGAGUUCGGCAGGGGAGACUGGAAUUCCUGGUGUAGCGGUGAAAUGCGCAGAUAUCAGGAGGAACACCGGUGGCGAAGGCGGGUCUCUGGGCCGAUACUGACGCUGAGGAGCGAAAGCAUGGGUAGCGAACAGGAUUAGAUACCCUGGUAGUCCAUGCCGUAAACGUUGGGCGCUAGGUGUGGGGUCCAUUCCACGGGUUCCGUGCCGCAGCUAAACGCAUUAAGCGCCCCGCCUGGGGA
This 389-nucleotide ribosomal RNA is filed under the name uncultured bacterium. RNAcentral's name for it is "bacterial SSU rRNA". It matches the Rfam family "Bacterial small subunit ribosomal RNA", at positions 495 to 879 of the family's 1533-position model. The record is from RNAcentral.